RNAcentral lists this ribosomal RNA (1020 nucleotides) under Triticum aestivum (bread wheat). RNAcentral's name for it is "partial small subunit ribosomal RNA". Lineage: Eukaryota; Viridiplantae; Streptophyta; Magnoliopsida; Poales; Poaceae. The record is from RNAcentral.
AUGCCAGGAUCACAAGCCGACAAGACUGACUGGGAGAACAUGACGAAUAAGGAUUUGCAUGAUAAAUUUCAGCAAAUGAUGAGUGGACAGGUGCAAGAUGUGCUAAACAGAUUUGAAGAGGCCAUGGAAAAGAUAGAUGGCAUGGAGAAGUCGUUCGAAACAAAGCUCAAUAACAAGUUUAAUGAAUUUCUCGCGCGUCUUCCACCACCACCACCCAUUGCACCUAACGCACCUCUCCAACAACAACAACAACGACUACCUCCACGUCGUGAAACAGCCCUCCGCCGAGCGAGCCGUGUCCCUCUUGCGUUUGGCCAAACUGUUGGUGCUGCUGUUGAUACUUCUGUGGCUCCUGCUGCUGAUGCGAAGGAGGAGGAUUAUGUGGGAGAUUACGAGGAUGAGGUUGAUCAAAAUCAGAACUACGUGCAACCACCUGCACCACAACCACCAGGUCGUCCACAUGCAAAUAAUCACAAUGGUAGGGCUCUCCCUCAGGUACGAGAUCAUGACCAUCUUCCUAAACUGAAAUUGAAUAUUCCACCAUUUGAGGGUAGAUAUGUUCCUGAUAUAUAUCUUACUUGGGAGUUAGAAACUGAACAACGAUUUACAUGUUUACAAUAUCCCGAGGAGAGACGGGUUGCCGCUGCUGUUUGUGCUUUCACUAGUUUUGCAUGUGUAUGGUGGUCUGAACAUUGUAGAUUAUAUCCUAUUCCAACUACUUGGGCUGCUAUGAAAACUGCUAUGUGUACUCGUUGGGUUCCACCAUAUUAUCAACGUGAAUUGCUUAAAAAUUUGCAGCGCUUCAGACAAGUGAAAAAUUCUGUAGAAGAAUAUUAUCAGGAAUUAAACACUAGCAUGAUUAGAUGUGGUAUUGUUGAGGAGAAUGAAGCUAUGCUUGCACGUUUUCUGGGUGGAUUAAAUAGAGAGAUUCAGACCAUUCUAGACUAUAAGGAGUAUACUAAUAUCACUCGUUUAUUCCAUCUUGCUUGUAAAGCUGAACGUGAAGUGCAGGAUCGAUAA